This 255-nucleotide ribosomal RNA is filed under the name Bacillus cereus. RNAcentral describes it as "partial 23S ribosomal RNA". It matches the Rfam family "Bacterial large subunit ribosomal RNA", at positions 1427 to 1677 of the family's 2925-position model. The record is from RNAcentral. Lineage: Bacteria; Bacillati; Bacillota; Bacilli; Caryophanales; Bacillaceae.
AGGUUGAUAUUCCUGUACCACCUCUUUAUCGUUUGAGCAAUGGAGGGACGCAGAAGGAUAGAAGAAGCGUGCGAUUGGUUGUGCACGUCCAAGCAGUUAGGCUGAUAAGUAGGCAAAUCCGCUUAUCCCGUAUGCUGAGCUGUGAUGGGGAAGCUCCUUAUGGAGCGAAGUCUUUGAUUCCCCGCUGCCAAGAAAAGCUUCUAGCGAGAUAAAAGGUGCCUGUACCGCAAACCGACACAGGUAGGCGAGGAGAGA